This 482-nucleotide ribosomal RNA is filed under the name uncultured bacterium. RNAcentral describes it as "bacterial SSU rRNA". It matches the Rfam family "Bacterial small subunit ribosomal RNA", at positions 29 to 507 of the family's 1533-position model. The record is from RNAcentral.
AUUGAACGCUGGCGGCAUGCUUUACACAUGCAAGUCGAACGGUGUGAGGGGGCAACUCCUCAUUCAGUGGCGAACGGGUGAGUAAUGCAUCGGAACGUGUCCCGUAGUGGGGGAUAACGCCGCGAAAGCGGCGCUAAUACCGCAUACGCUCUACGGAGGAAAGCGGGGGAUCGCAAGACCUCGCGCUAGGGGAGCGGCCGAUGUCCGAUUAGCUUGUUGGUGGGGUAAUGGCUUACCAAGGCGACGAUCGGUAGCUGGUCUGAGAGGAUGAUCAGCCACACUGGGACUGAGACACGGCCCAGACUCCUACGGGAGGCAGCAGUGGGGAAUUUUGGACAAUGGGGGAAACCCUGAUCCAGCCAUGCCGCGUGCGGGAAGAAGGCCUUCGGGUUGUAAACCGCUUUUAGCCGGGACGAAAGCGCCACGGAUAACACCCGUGGCGGUUGACGGUACCGGCGGAAUAAGCACCGGCUAACUACGUG